This 231-nucleotide long non-coding RNA is filed under the name Elaeis guineensis (African oil palm). RNAcentral's name for it is "long non-coding RNA (EGUI_LNC009761)". The record is from RNAcentral. Lineage: Eukaryota; Viridiplantae; Streptophyta; Magnoliopsida; Arecales; Arecaceae.
GUCGCCUCAUUUCUUUCUUUUCAUAGAUACCGCGUACAUCAAUAUGCCAGUGGAAUCCAACUUACUCUCAUCCUUGCUGGUGGAGUAGCAAACAUCUAGUUGUCCCAAAAAGAAGAAAGCUGGUGGGUAUGUUCGCAUGAGAGGCGGAUGAAGCAAUGAAGAACUUCCAGAUUUGAAUUGCAUGAAAGCAUGCAACUUGGAGUUGGCUCAUUGUUUAUUAAUUUUGGUAGC